Long non-coding RNA from Petromyzon marinus (sea lamprey), 2212 nucleotides. RefSeq lists it as uncharacterized. Lineage: Eukaryota; Metazoa; Chordata; Hyperoartia; Petromyzontiformes; Petromyzontidae. The record is from RefSeq and is a predicted model, not a curated record.
GUGGUUUUUGGUUCUUGUUUACAAGUCUCAUCUUUACCUCCAUACUUAUUAAUGUCUCAUCAGCAGCCAAUUCUUUUUUUGUGGACGAAUCUGUCUUUUCUUCCCCACCCCCCACCAUGGUAACAUAAUUCUGAACUUCUCAUGAAUUAGUAGCUAAAUAAAAAAUAUAUAUGCAUCUUAAUCCUGCAUUUAUGGAGCGAUUCAUAUUUGCUUUAUUGCGAAAAUUGGUUGGGAAGCAGCUGCACCUGGACACGCACACUCUCAUAACAAUGAAGAGUCACGCCACGGAUAAUGAUCACAUCACAUAUAUGUACAGACAUACAUAUUUAAAUAUAGCAAUAUAUUAUUUAUAUAAUGCACCUGUAUUGCAUGUUGAAUAAUUUGUUAAUAAAACAGAUUUGCAAAGCUACAAAGGGGAAUGGGGUGUGCCUCUCGGCUACAAACAUUAUUAACCACAACGUUAUACAUUUUUCAUAACAUAGAUUUAUUUUAAUAUAUUAUAUACAGCACAGUUACACGAGUAUAAUAUUGCGCAAUUCAAUGAUGUUUCGUAAAAACAAUGUGCAUGAUUAUUUAUCAUCAUCUUUAUUAUUACCACCAGCCACUCUAUUGAUUGUCAUCUUGAAAUCCAAGCUGACAUCUCCAUGGCAGUAUGAAGUGAUUAUUAUAAAGUAAGGUUCCCGCUUAGCAAGAGAGGACAAAGGUUUUCAGUCCGUGAACUCCGCGGACAGUGACAAUUCCAUCAAGGGAAACGUGGAAAAAAAAACGUUCUCACUGGCCGUCGGUAUGAACGUAAAGUUACAACUUUUAAACGCAACGCAAAUAAAAGGAACAUUAUUCUCCAAAAGUAUAUGUUUUUUUUAUGGACAAAACUAUUCAGGUACACGAGCACAGAGGAAUAUGAAAGGGGGUUGACGCCGGCACAAAUCCACACAUUACGGAUUACGGUGCAAUGGCAGACCUGUCUUACACCGCAUGUUUCAAUAAACUCUACAACCCUUUGUGUCUUCCUAAGCGCUGACACCCCUGUAGUAGAAGAAGAGAAAAAGGGAGGUGGGAGGGUAGUGCCUAAAUGCCCAAAUGUAAACGCACGCAUUUAUUGCUGCCGUUGUUCAACUCACAAAAAUGGAUACGAAACUCGUAAUUUUUUGUUCUCUCGCUGAUCCCACGUUUACCUUAACCGAGUAACCAAUGAAUCUCAAAGGUGCAGCUGACGUUUCACGGCGAGCUUUAGAUCUCAUCGGAUCCCUCCAGGAUUUAAUAAAUAUUCGGAUGAUAUCGACUUGCAUCCACCUCUCCACCCCCGCUCCAUCACACGCGCUCCGAGUGGUUUCUUCCGAGAGCUCUGUCCGUCGUUCUGUCAUCCCCCCCCCUUCCUCCUCCUCUCCCCCCACCACCAAAUACCACGCGCUGCGAAGCCUCUUCGCCAUAAGCGCGGCGCUGUGAGACCUCGAUGAGCGAGCGAGCGAGUAAGCUAGCAGGUAAGCUCGCCGGCUAGCUACCGGUGGCUGUCGGUGGGUGGCCACACCGGCGGCUGUCGAACGUCGCUGCGCCCGGCUUGACGGAGCAGCUUGUGGAGAGCGUUGGUCUUCAAUGCGCCAAAGUUGGUAACAGCGGUUUCAACGACAGCUGAGGAGUAGAUUUGCCUCCCUCACUGACAAGUCCAUCUCUCCACCAGCGCUCGCUCUCGCAAGGAAGACUUUCAACUCUCGGGGUGUGUUAUUUUUUAUUUAUUUUAUUCUUUCACGGAUACUUUGUGGGAAGAGAGUCGAUAUGGACGCUCUGUACAUUUGACCGUGAAACGAGCGCCGUUUGUGUUGAGCUUCGUUUGCACAACCGCAUCGAGAAAGACGCCGUACAACAGCAAUAGAAGAUUCUCUCUCUCGAGAGAGAGGAAGAGAGAGGAAGAGAGGGGAAGAGAGGAGUGUCAUGCAAGGAGAGAUGGGAAAAUGAAACACGACCAAGACUCCCAACAGGUUUCGCUAAUCGCCUGACCCCCCCCCCCCCGCCCCCCCCCCCCCCCCCGAUCGUCACUUCUGAACGCUGCACGUGGAGAGGAAUCGCAGCGCGCGUGACGGUGACACGUAACACUAGGGACUGCGAAAGCGGGUGACAGGGAGCGUGCGGCGACGUGACUUGGCAGUAGCAGCAGUGGCAGCAGCAGCAGCAGCAGUGGCAACAGCAGCAGCGGCGGCGGCAGCAGAAGCAGCAG